CAUUGCUGGUCCAACUCAAUGCUCCUCAUAGGGAACUGGAACUGAUGCACAUGCGUGUCGAGAGCUGCAUACGCAUCAAGUGCUUCUCAUAGGAAAGCAUUGAAUCCAGUGUUUUACUAUGAGCUGCUGUGUCACCUAGUUUUACACAGCUAUUAGAGAUGCUUCUGCUGAAAUGACAAUCUUGGAAGACGACCAUUAAAGUCGUGUU
This is a non-coding RNA of Pelobates cultripes (western spadefoot toad), 208 nucleotides long. The record is from the annotation of a GenBank genome assembly. Lineage: Eukaryota; Metazoa; Chordata; Amphibia; Anura; Pelobatidae.